This is a long non-coding RNA of Homo sapiens (human), 608 nucleotides long. NCBI's taxonomy places the organism in Eukaryota, Metazoa, Chordata, Mammalia, Primates, Hominidae. The record is from Ensembl.
GGAGGAGCCUGGCCCCUCCUCUUCCUGUGUGGAAGCUGGGAUUCCAAUGGCAGGCAGGAAAUCUUGUAGUAGGUGAUCGUGGCCUUCCUUGGGAUCCCUGUUUCCCCCUUUUAUUCCCUUUUCACCCAGUAAAACCCUGCUUUGCUCACUCUUUAAAGCAUCUGUGAGCGUAAAUUUUUGUGGCCAUGGGAUGGACAAGAACCACAUGUUUACCUGAAGUCCUGUGACAUUUUGGUGUGCAGCAUGGGAGCUCCAAAAGUGAGUCUCAUUGUGUUGCUCAGGCUGGAAUCCAGUGGCAUGAUCUCGGCUCAGUGCAACCUCCGCCUCCUGGGUUCAAGCAGUUCUCCUAGAUCAGCAUCAGCGUCCCGAGUAGCUGGGAUUACAGGCACCCGCCACCAUGCCUGGCUAAUGUUGGUCAGGCUGGCUCGAACUCCUGACCUCAAGAGAUCCACCUGCUUUGGCCUCCCAAAGUGCUCGGAUUACAGGCAUGAGCUGCCACACCCAGCCUCCAAAUACUUUUUUUUUAAAUCAAAAUAAUGAUUUCAAUGACUGAGAUCUGUUAUGUAUUUCAACAUAAUCAUGUUUCAUAAAGAUUUAGUCUUCUGAAA